This 178-nucleotide long non-coding RNA is filed under the name Canis lupus familiaris (dog). RNAcentral's name for it is "lncRNA (ENSCAFG00845017795.1)". The record is from RNAcentral. Lineage: Eukaryota; Metazoa; Chordata; Mammalia; Carnivora; Canidae.
AAAAAAGAAAAUACCACUGAACACCAUGUGGAUUGCCAACUGCAUGGAUACAGUGGGAGAUGCCAACAUCAGUUCUGGGAGGUCCUUUGUGUUGGGCUGGCCCACGGUAAACUUUGUGGCCACCUUCAGUUCUUCAGAACAAAAGGAAAAAUGGCGUUCUUACCUUCAAAGUCCGUAA